AUUGAACGCUGGCGGCAGGCCUAACACAUGCAAGUCGAACGGUAACGGGAAGCAGCUUGCUGCUUCGCUGACGAGUGGCGGACGGGUGAGUAAUGUCUGGGAAACUGCCUGAUGGAGGGGGAUAACUACUGGAAACGGUAGCUAAUACCGCAUAACGUCGCAAGACCAAAGAGGGGGACCUUAGGGCCUCUUGCCAUCGGAUGUGCCCAGAUGGGAUUAGCUAGUAGGUGGGGUAACGGCUCACCUAGGCGACGAUCCCUAGCUGGUCUGAGAGGAUGACCAGCCACACCGGAACUGAGACACGGUCCAGACUCCUACGGGAGGCAGCAGUGGGGAAUAUUGCACAAUGGGCGCAAGCCUGAUGCAGCCAUGCCGCGUGUAUGAAGAAGGCCUUCGGGUUGUAAAGUACUUUCAGCGGGGAGGAAGGGAGUAAAGUUAAUACCUUGGCUCAUUGACGUUACCCGCAGAAGAAGCACCGGCUAACUCCGUG
Molecule: ribosomal RNA, 490 nt
Filed under: uncultured bacterium
Lineage: Bacteria
Description: partial 16S ribosomal RNA
Rfam family: Bacterial small subunit ribosomal RNA
Source: RNAcentral